GUCUAUGACCAUACCACCCUGAACGUGCCUGAUCUUGUUUGAUCUCAGAAACUAAGCAGGGUUGGGCCUGGUUAGUACUUGGAUGGGAAAAAUCAGUGUUUUAAGUG
This 107-nucleotide ribosomal RNA is filed under the name Cricetulus griseus (Chinese hamster). Lineage: Eukaryota; Metazoa; Chordata; Mammalia; Rodentia; Cricetidae. The record is from RNAcentral.